UUAAACUAAAAGGUGCCAAUCUGUUUAUAC
This 30-nucleotide non-coding RNA is filed under the name Mus musculus (house mouse). The record is from RNAcentral. Lineage: Eukaryota; Metazoa; Chordata; Mammalia; Rodentia; Muridae.